RNAcentral lists this ribosomal RNA (468 nucleotides) under uncultured bacterium. RNAcentral's name for it is "partial 16S ribosomal RNA". It matches the Rfam family "Bacterial small subunit ribosomal RNA", at positions 28 to 507 of the family's 1533-position model. The record is from RNAcentral.
GACGAACGCUGGCGGUGUGCUUAACACAUGCAAGUCGAACGGUAAGGCCCUUUCGGGGGUCCACGAGUGGCGAACGGGUGAGUAACACGUGAGUAACCUGCCCUCAUCUCUGGGAUAACAGUCGGAAACGGUUGCUAAUACUGGAUAUGAGCUUGCAAGGCAUCUUGUGGGUUGGAAAGAUUUUUUUUGGUUGGGGAUGGACUCGCGGCCUAUCAGCUUGUUGGUGAGGUAGUGGCUCACCAAGGCUUCGACGGGUAGCCGGCCUGAGAGGGCGACCGGCCACAUUGGGACUGAGAUACGGCCCAAACUCCUACGGGAGGCAGCAGUGGGGAAUAUUGCACAAUGGACGGAAGUCUGAUGCAGCAACGCCGCGUGCGGGAUGACGGCCUUCGGGUUGUAAACCGCUGUCAAUUGUGACGAAGCUUUUUUGUGACGGUAGCAGUAGAAGAAGCACCGGCUAACUACGUG